UGUUUGUAGGGUAUUUUGCCUGAUGUCAGAAGAAAUAAAGACUGAAAUAAAAAGAAGCAAGUUAAAAGUUCAUAAAGAAGCUAUGCAUUUCUAAAGCAGGAGGCAAAAGUUAAGAAGUGGCUCAGCCUGUCCAGUACACAUAAGAUGUCCCCUGUGCCUACUGUCUCCAGUUUUCCUGCCUUGACGUCUCCCCCAAGAAUGGUGCAGCACCUGCAAAGAAAAAUUAAGAGAGGGAAAACACCAAAUUGGGCAGCUGAAUACCUCUAAUCUGUUGGCUUCCACUGUCUAAGUGCUAUUGUAAGCAACCACAUAAGGGAUUUCACUUUGAAAGGGGAUUCCAGACUGCAAGAGAAUUGAUUUGUUCCUUGAGCCUUCUCCAGAAGAACUGACUGUACUCUCUUUUGACCCUUCUCUUGUUUGGUGAGUUAUACAAAAAACUCCAGGGAAUUCCUACUUUCAUAGUCAGUUUAACAUAUCUACUGCUUUUUCAUUAAACACAAAUUCUGAAUUUCUUAUUCCUUUGACAGAUAUGACAGAAAGGGACAGCUCAGUCCGGGAAUGAAGUUUGGUAGAAAGCCAUUUAGGGGAGCAGAUAGAAGCUUUUUCUUUCCUGUUGUUUGAAAGUGUAUUCACUUUUACCUCCACACUGACUUGUACUUGCAGGGUAAGAGAAAAGUUGCUUUUGAGAUGUUGAUGUUGAGAAUGAUUGAAGACCUGGGAAGCCCAGAACUGCAGGGCAGUCAGAGGGCUCCCAGAACAACUCCCAGUGAAGUGCUCAGAGCCAGCUGCAAACUUAAGUCAACACAGGUAUCAAACACCAAGUUUUCUAUCUCUCCAAUUAGGGAUUUUAUAGAGUUCCUGCCAUUCUAGUAUCUGAGCAAUUAUGGAGUUACUCCUGAUUUGUAUCAAUGUUGAAUUCAGUCAUAUCUGGUGGCAGGAAUGUCUCACUUGAGUGAUCCUACCGUUGGGAUGUGCUGCCCUUGAAGGCCCGAGUCUCAUGCCCUCCACAGGGCAUGAUAUCCUGAUUUUUUCAGAUCAUCAUUUGAUUCACUCUUUUCCUUCUUGUUUUGAUUUUUAAUCUCCACGCUAAAAACUUUU
Long non-coding RNA from Columba livia (rock pigeon), 1098 nucleotides. RefSeq lists it as uncharacterized. The transcript is spliced from 3 exons. NCBI's taxonomy places the organism in Eukaryota, Metazoa, Chordata, Aves, Columbiformes, Columbidae. The record is from RefSeq and is a predicted model, not a curated record.